Molecule: small nuclear RNA, 107 nt
Organism: Suricata suricatta (meerkat)
Lineage: Eukaryota; Metazoa; Chordata; Mammalia; Carnivora; Herpestidae
Source: Ensembl
GCGCUGGCCUGGGCAGCGCACAUGCUAAAGUUGGAACAAUACUGAGAUGAUUAGCAUGGCCUCUGCGCAAAGAUGACAUGCCCAUUCGUGAAACGUUCCAUAUUUAG